RNAcentral lists this ribosomal RNA (468 nucleotides) under uncultured bacterium. RNAcentral describes it as "partial 16S ribosomal RNA". It matches the Rfam family "Bacterial small subunit ribosomal RNA", at positions 28 to 507 of the family's 1533-position model. The record is from RNAcentral.
GACGAACGCUGGCGGCGUGCUUAACACAUGCAAGUCGAACGGAAAGGCCCUGCUUUUGUGGGGUGCUCGAGUGGCGAACGGGUGAGUAACACGUGAGUAACCUGCCCUUGACUUUGGGAUAACUUCAGGAAACUGGGGCUAAUACCGGAUAGGAGCUCCUGCUGCAUGGUGGGGGUUGGAAAGUUUCGGCGGUUGGGGAUGGACUCGCGGCUUAUCAGCUUGUUGGUGGGGUAGUGGCUUACCAAGGCUUUGACGGGUAGCCGGCCUGAGAGGGUGACCGGCCACAUUGGGACUGAGAUACGGCCCAGACUCCUACGGGAGGCAGAAGGGGGGAAUAUUGCAAAAUGGGGGGAAGCCCGAUGCAGCAACGCCGCGGGCGGGAUGACGGCCUUCGGGUUGUAAACCGCUUUCGCCUGGGACGAAGCGGGGGUGACGGUAAUGGGUAAAGAAGCCCCGGCUAACUUCGGG